CCUCACCCCCAUAGAUAUCCAUAAUAAAGGCUAGAUGUCUUACGGCGGAGUCUCAAACGUCAUCACCGGCGGCCAUCUUGCCUCAGGCAAGCUUUCUGGCGUGCUCUGUGGUACCUAAUGUAAGGAUUUGUUGAGCGACGGGCUCUGAAGAAGCUGUCCUGUGAUGUCUGCCGUGCCAGCUUGGUAACAGAUGCUGCAUCUGCCAUCAAGAACCAGAGCUACCACCUGCUGAAGUUAAAAA
Long non-coding RNA from Fundulus heteroclitus (mummichog), 241 nucleotides. RefSeq lists it as uncharacterized. The record is from RefSeq and is a predicted model, not a curated record. NCBI's taxonomy places the organism in Eukaryota, Metazoa, Chordata, Actinopteri, Cyprinodontiformes, Fundulidae. The transcript is spliced from 2 exons.